Long non-coding RNA from Tympanuchus pallidicinctus (lesser prairie-chicken), 1394 nucleotides. RefSeq lists it as uncharacterized. The transcript has 2 exons. The record is from RefSeq and is a predicted model, not a curated record. NCBI's taxonomy places the organism in Eukaryota, Metazoa, Chordata, Aves, Galliformes, Phasianidae.
GGCACGGCUCGGUUCGGUUCUGCUCCGUUUGGCACAGUUGGGUUCGGCGGGGGUAGGAGCGGCUCGGCUCGGUUCGGCGCCGCUCGGGGCUCAGCUCAGCUCAGCUCGGCAGGGGUCAUUUCUGUUCAGUGCGCUCCAGCUCGCUCCAGCACGGUUCGGUUCGGUUCUGCUCCGUUUCGGUUCAGUUCGGUUCAGUUCGGUUCCGUUUGGUUCCGUUCAAGUUGGCUCGGUUCAGCUCAGCGUGGCGCGGUUCGGUUCGGUUGUGUUCAGCCCAGCUCAGUGCCCGCGGCACCGGUGCCACUGUGCCCACCCCGGGGCUCGGUUCCCAGGCCGAGCACCCUAGAGGAAGAUGCCACCGGGCACAGCCCCACAGCUCCAUGGCCGGGCUGGGGGUCUCCAUCCCCUCCCACAGGCACACAGGCGUGCGGUGCCACCAGAGCCACCCCAUGGGACCGGACCCCGAGCAGGUGAGGUGUGAACCACAUCCAGGUGCUCUCCAGGCCCUACGGGGCUUGGGACCAAGGUGAUCCCUAACCAUCCCCCAACCCGCUGCUGCGUUUGCUCCCUGCCAUGCUGAAUGCACCCAGCGCUGCUCCAGGGGCGUGCCACGAGCAGCAGGUGCUGGGGCAAAGUCCUUCCCUUCCCACCUUUAUGACUUGGCUUGAUUGCUCUGCCAGGCUUUAAUAUUCCACCAGCCCUCUGUGCUCAGUGACCCUGCGACGGAGCAUCGCUGCUCCAUCUGCCAGGCUCUGCUCCCAAAAGCUUUGCUGUCGGAUGGAGGAUGCCUGCGCCGUCGUAGAACCACGUGGUAUGGAUGCAACCCCCUUGGUCCCAUCGGAAAAAACAGAUUUCAUCAGCUACAGGAGGCUCGGCGGGAGGGCAGUGGCCAACAAACAGGCUGGGGUGGUUUUUCUGGGGUGUGGUGGUGGGACCCGGUUGGGUUUGCAGCCUGGCUCUUCCCGGCCGGGGAAUGCGGGGAAUGUUGGCCAGGUAGAGGAGGAGGGAUGUGCCCAGCGCAUCUCCCAUCUUGGGAUGUGGUUUGUGGGGUCCUUAAGGUCCUUCCCAGCAGCAAACUUCAAAGCAGCAUGCAUAGGAACCUCAUUUCACUAGGCUUGGAAGCAGCUCACUAAAGAAAGUUAUUUUUCCAAGGGCAGAAUAGUAAUUUUUGACCACUUCUCUCUCAUUUGGCUGGAUCAGAGAUGGCUCUCUACAAGAAAUAUGGCACUACUUGAGGUCUUCAGCUGCUUUCAGCACCCCAGGUUGCUUGGAGGCUCUCCUGCUUGGAUGCCAAGUAAUGUCCUAAGUGCAUGCAGGUCUGAAUCUGUGGGAGAAGGGGUCACCCAACCAUCCGUAAGGUCCCUCCUUCUGUAAUUUGAUGAUUUACCCACAAAGCA